CAGUCGCCGCGGUAAUACGAGGGGGGCAAGCGUUGUUCGGAAUUAUUGGGCGUAAAGGGUGCGUAGGCGGCUUGACAAGUCUUGUGUGAAAUCUAUGGGCUCAACCCAUAGUCUGCACGGGAAACUGUCGGGCUUGAGAAUGGGAGAGGUGAGUGGAAUUUCCGGUGUAGCGGUGAAAUGCGUAGAUAUCGGAAGGAACACCUGUGGCGAAAGCGGCUCACUGGACCAUUUCUGACGCUGAUGCACGAAAGCUAGGGGAGCAAACAGGAUUAGAUACCCGCGUAGUCCCUGUCUCUUAUAA
RNAcentral lists this ribosomal RNA (301 nucleotides) under uncultured bacterium. Its description in RNAcentral is "partial 16S ribosomal RNA". It matches the Rfam family "Bacterial small subunit ribosomal RNA", at positions 509 to 809 of the family's 1533-position model. The record is from RNAcentral.